UACGAAGGUGUCGAACGUUGUCCGGAAUUACUGGGCGUAAAGGGCGUGUAGGCGGUCAGGUAAGUGGGAUGUGAAAGCCCUCGGCUCACCCGAGGAUCUGCAUCUCAAACUGCCUGGCUUGAGUAUGGGAGAGGAUGAGGGAAUUCCUGGUGUAGCGGUGAAAUGCGUAGAUAUCAGGAGGAACACCGGUGGCGAAGGCGCUCAUCUGGCCCAAUACUGACGCUGAGGCGCGAAAGCUAGGGGAGCAAACGGG
Molecule: ribosomal RNA, 253 nt
Filed under: uncultured bacterium
Lineage: Bacteria
Description: partial 16S ribosomal RNA
Rfam family: Bacterial small subunit ribosomal RNA
Source: RNAcentral